CCUACGGGGUGCAGCAGUGAGGAAUAUUGGUCAAUGGGCGCAAGCCUGAACCAGCCAAGUCGCGUGAGGGAUGACGGUCCUAUGGAUUGUAAACCUCUUUUGUCGGGGAGCAAGGCCCGCCACGUGUGGCGGGAAGGAGAGUACCCGCAGAAAAAGCAUCGGCUAACUCCGUGCCAGCAGCCGCGGUAAUACGGAGGAUGCGAGCGUUAUCGGGAUUUAUUGGGUUUAAAGGGUGCGUAGGCGGAAGGUUAAGUAAGCGGUAAAAUGUCGGUGCUCAACACCGGCCUGCCGUUGAAACUGGUCUUCUUGAGUGAGCGAGAAGUAGGCGGAAUGCGUGGUGUAGCGGUGAAAUGCAUAGAUAUCACGCAGAACUCCGAUUGCGAAGGCAGCAUACCGGCGCUCAACUGACGCUGAGGCACGAAAGCGUGGGGAUCGAACAGGAUUAGAUACCCGGGUAGUC
This 460-nucleotide ribosomal RNA is filed under the name uncultured bacterium. RNAcentral describes it as "partial 16S ribosomal RNA". It matches the Rfam family "Bacterial small subunit ribosomal RNA", at positions 338 to 795 of the family's 1533-position model. The record is from RNAcentral.